Molecule: transfer RNA, 112 nt
Filed under: Fusarium solani
Lineage: Eukaryota; Fungi; Ascomycota; Sordariomycetes; Hypocreales; Nectriaceae
Also listed under: 2 other names
Description: tRNA-Leu
Rfam family: tRNA
About the family: Transfer RNA (tRNA) molecules are approximately 80 nucleotides in length.
Source: RNAcentral
GCCAAGGUGGCCGAGUGGUCUAAGGCGCUGUGCUUAAGAAAGCUAAGCUUACUCCCAGUAACAUGGGUCCACAGUAUCGAGAGAUUCUUGGGUUCGAACCCCAAUCUUGGCA